This 39176-nucleotide long non-coding RNA is filed under the name Malus domestica (apple). RNAcentral's name for it is "long non-coding RNA (MDOM_LNC017235)". Lineage: Eukaryota; Viridiplantae; Streptophyta; Magnoliopsida; Rosales; Rosaceae. The record is from RNAcentral.
UUUAGAAGGGCAGAGAAUACGAUACACAGUGUUGAGCAAUUGAUAAUCCUCUGAAGGUUGCUUACUGCUUGAAUCAUUCCACUUUCCUUUCUUGUAGUUGUUGUUACCCCCUCUUCUUUUAAACUGGAUAUUAGGGCGUUUCUUCGAAAAGGUUUCGAUUGUUCCCAUUCAAUCAUACCCCUCAAUACUAAAAACUAAUAACUGAAGCGGACUAAAUUUUAAGCAAACCUUAAUACCUGGAUUAAGCAAAAGAAUAAAAAAAGUCGCCAUUACUGCGAAAGAGCCGAAUGCCACACUAAUUUUCUCAAGCAAUGAAACUGGGCUCAUCAUUCCCAAUUUCGAACGGAACACUAAAUUAAGCAAAAGCUAUUGAAUUCAGGGAUUGCCAAUACAAAAGUUAAGGUACCUUGAUCUGGUAAAGUAUUUCCAACGAGCUAGCAGCCGUAAUUCGGGAGCGUUAGGCUUCGAGCCAUCGCCCUAGGGUUCCAAAAACCAAACCUAAUCAGCUCAAGUACAAAACUGGAAGCAAAAAGGACACACCUUAUGGGAUAACCAAGCUUAUACAACAUCAAAUUCAAGCGCUGCAUUUUCUUUUCUGGGAACUAACCAAAACAAAUAAUGCAAGAAAAAAGUUGGAAACUUUAGUUAAUUCUUAACGACAGGAAACAAUGAUUUAGAUGGAGGGUGAUCGGAGAAAUGAGAAGAACAUAGCACAGGCCAGUCAGUAAAACUGUAAGAUUAUGGUUUGUGGGGGAAGUUAAUGAAAAGUUUUUACCUUUUUACGUACCGGAGCGCGCGCGCGCAGAGAGAGAGAGAGAGAGAAGAGAGAGAGAGAGAAGAGAAUGAGAGGUAAAGGGAGUGUGGCUACCGCUUGCCGGGGCGACUGGCGGUCCCCAUCUUCGGAGAGGAGAGACAUGAAUCGAGGUAAUGGAGCUUGAAGUCUUGGACUUGCAGAGUUUUGUCUGUAUUUUUUUAAGGUGGAAAAGGAGAUGGGCUUCGACCCAUUUCCGAAUUCUUAGGAAAGGGCCAAACUUAACUUCGACCCAUUUCAAAUUCGACAUGUCACAAGAGGUCCUGUGCAUGUCCAAUUUGAAAAAAAUCCAGAAAUAUUCAAAGAUUUUUUGUGGGUUUAGAUUUUGCAGUAUAUACAGAACACAAAUUGGUUCAUCACGUAUCAUAAUAUAAGGAGAGAGACACAAAAAAUGUAUAUUUAUCCAAUAUCCACUUUAUUAUGAUAUAUACAUAAUGUACCGACUUGUGUUUUGAGUACAUAAAAUUUUUUUCUCCCUUUACUGAUGUUAAUUCCAAAUUCUAAUGGAGUUGAUCCUCGUGGGAAUAUCUAAAUAUUUCAAUGUUAAAACUUUAAAAUAAAGGAUAAAAUUCAGUGACAGAUCCAUUCAAAAAUAAGAGGAAACUGAGGUGUACUCCGUCAAUUAUUUCUUCAUCGGCUUCUACAAGUUAGGUUAUUAUUCUUACAAAGACAACACCAAAACUAGAUUUCUUCUCGCUCAAGAAAGCCCCAAGAGCAUUUAGCUCUGAACUAGUUUGGUAUUUUUCAUCGUUCCUACAUGAAACAAUGCAACGACAGACUGUUUUUCAGUCACGACCUUUGCAAACAGAUGGCUUUGAUGGAAACAGUUUUAUGAAUAGGGAUGCCCAUUGUACCAUUCAAUCAUCCAAUUCAUCCCUAAAAUUCUGCAAAAGAUUUUGUCAACAAUAUUCUUUUCGUUUUUUUCUUUUCUUAAAACAAUGAUCUAAUCGGAUAAAUGGUUGCUCAUGGAUGAUAGAGUAUUCGGAAGAUAGUCCAUCUAGUGAAGAAAAAAAAAAUUAGGAAAUUGAAUCCAUCAUGAUGGAGACUGUUAGGAAUCGAGCCCCAGAUUAAAAACUCCGUCAAGUUACAGUUAAUAGACUGCACGUGAGCUCCAAGUGCAAGGUUAAAUUCAUCAUUUCAGCUCUAUUAACCCAGUAAGCGUUCAAAUCAGCCUAUACAGCGUCCCUCCCCUAGUCUGAAAGACUAAAACGAUGAAAUCGCUAUCUACGUGUGGGUGCUGGAGUUUUUGCUGAAAAUUGGGGUGGGAGACUGAGAGGCUCUCGAUUUGAAAUCGUCGACUCGAAUCUAAAAGCUCUGAAGUUCCAACACCAAUUACAGAAAACAAUAGGCCUUCCUUCCCAUUUUAGCUCGCCGAUUCAUACAGAACCAAUUUCAUGUAAUUUGGCUUUCUUUGUUUUUCUUACAACUUGCAUUGUUUGAGUCAUUUGAUUAACUGGGUUUUAUUGUUUCUUUGUUUUGGGUUUCAAUGAGUUCAGUUGGAAGAAUCGCCACCGAAUUAUGUUUUGGUUUUGAACUCAAACUUCUCUUACCCAAAAAUAAGUCAAAUAAGCAAGUAGCCCUCUACCACAGUAGUGAAGUGGAGUGUUACUCUUACACCAUGAUAUGGGUUCGAACCCUGUUGGCUCUCUAAUCUAACAUUUAAUCUAACAAAUGUAUUGUUUGACAAAAAAAAAAAAAAUCAAUCAAAUAAAUAUAAACAGAAGAAAGCAGCAGAGAGACAAAAUUUGCAGUCAAAAUCGUUUUACACCCCUGCAAAUCUGUGAGAGUUGAGAUGUGGGUUAUUAGUGGAGGCAAAAUGAUAUUUUUCCCUUUUGCCAGUGUGAAACAAAAGAGGUGUAAUGUGUUAACAGAUGUAUAGUAACUAAUUUAACUUUGCACGUGAGGAUCACGGCAACAUAUUAACGAGACUUAACAUAAAUUUUAAGUUGGGGUUCAAUUCCUAACAAUCCUCAUUACAAGAGUUUAUUUCCUAAUUUGUUUACUACAUGGACUAUUUUCCGAAUACUAUAUAACUACGAAAACCAUUUAUCCGAUUAAGCCUUCCAAACAAAGAAAAAGCAAUUGACGUCAUAAAUAUGUCAAACAUCAAUUUGGCUUCCAAGUGUUAUGAGAUUUUUUUUUUUCGUACGUAUGGCAAAGUCUUGCAUUGUACAUUAGUCUAGGUUGUUGAAUUGUGGCCAAGUGGCCAAGUGGACAACAAAACAAAACCAAAAUAAAAAAAGGUGAAAGACAUCAUGAUGAGGAGGCAUCAUGAUUAUGUUUGUUGAAAAGGAAAAUUGAUGGUCAUGAUGAUGUUUUUGAGUUUUUUAUUGGGUGCUUUUGUAUUGAUGAAGUGAGGAUACAGAAGUGAGAAAGAGAGAGGAAGGAGUGUGCACCAUUUUCUGUUUUAGUAGUCCAUCUUUGAGAGAGCAAAGAGAGUUGCAGAGAGCAGAAAAGAAGAAGAAGGUGCUCUUCUUUUUGGUUAGCAAUCAUCCAUCAUAGUUAUUGUUGUAAUAGCUUUGAGCUACAUGUAUAGAGAAGAAAUUAUUCAUUAUAUUUCUUUCUCUAUUUGUUUCUGUGGUGUGUGAGAGCUAUUGGGUGUAUUGGGUUAUUUGGGUUGUGAGAUUACCAACACUUUGUAAACUCCCAUUUGGUUGAUAGUGGAUUAUUGGGUGAGCUCCUACUGCUCCGAGAACGUACUCCAGUUACACUGACUGUUGAGGAACCUAGUUAAAAUCUUGGUGUCUUUAAUAUUUUGUUCUUGCAUUUCAUUUGAUAUAUUUCCUGUGGGUUAUCAAGAGUUGGUUCCAUAAGGUUUGGUGAUGUCCUAGCACAACAAUUGGUAUCAGAGGUUACAGGUUGUGGUGUCCAGAGAUGAAAAAACUUGUAAUAAGCAGAGAUGUGACAUUUGAUGAAGAAAGUAUGUUCAAAGACUCUGAGAAGAAUGUGAAAGAUGUCCAAUAGGUGGAGCUUGAGAAAGUUGCCUCUGGUACUUCAAAUCCUAUUUCCGCUGAUGUCGAAGCCACUACAAGUGAAGAAGUUGGAGACCAUAAGGAUGUUGAAGAAGUUGAACUUGAAGAUUCUAUUCAAGUUGAAGAGCAAGUUUCACCUCAAGAGUCUAUUGCCAAGAACAGAAGAAAGAGACAAAUUACCAAGCCAGCUCGGUAUAGUGACUAUGUUUCUUUUGCUCUUCCUAUUAUCACUGAUGAGAUUCCAUCCAAUUUCGAGGAAGCCAUUGAGAGUGAAGAGAAGAAGAGGUGGUGCAAUGCCAUGGGUGAUGAAAUGAAUUCUCUCUUGAAGAACAAGACUUGGGAGUUAGCUAAAUUGCCUAAGGGCAAGAAAGCUAUCGGUUGCAAAUGGGUGUAUGCCAAGAAGGAAGAUGCUGAUGAGAAAAGCAAUGUGAGAUUUAAAGCAAGAUUAGUUGUUAAAGGGUAUGCACAAAAGGAGGGCAUUGACUACAAUGAAAUAUUUUCUCCGGUUGUGAAACACUCCUCAAUUCGUAUUAUGUUAGCUCUUGUUGCACAAUAUGAUCUUGAGCUUGUGCAACUUGAUGUGAAGACGGCUUUCCUACAUGGUGAUUUGAAUGAAGAGAUUUAUAUGUGUCAACCGGAUGGGUAUAUAGUGAAAGGGAAGGAGAAUUUGUUUUGCAAAUUGAAGAAAUCACUUUAUGGCUUGAAGCAAUCUCCAAGGCAAUGGUAUUUGAGGUUUGAUAAAUUUAUGAGAGGCCAAAAUUAUUCUAGAAGUCAAUAUGAUCAUUGUGUGUACUUCAAGAAGUUGCAAGAUGAGUCUUUCAUUUAUUUGUUGAUAUAUGUUGAUGAUAUGUUGAUUGCCUCAAAGAAUGUUGAAGAGAUUGAAAAAUUGAAGAAGCAAAUGAAGAAUGAGUUUGAGAUGAAGGAUCUUGGUGAAGCGAAGAAGAUCCUUGGCAUGGAGAUCACUAGAGAUAGAGAGAAGGGUUUGGUCAGUUUGAAUCAAAGACAAUACCUUGAGAAGUUGAUUCGGAAGUUUGGAGUUCAUGAUUCAACCAAACCGGUUAGUACCCCUUUGGCUCCUCAUUUUAAAUUGAGUUCUCUACAAUGUCCUAAAAAUGAUAAAGAGAAGCUGCAAAUGAAAAAUAUACCAUAUGCAAAUUUGGUUGGUAGUUUGAUGUAUGCAAUGGUAUGCUCUAGACCGGAUAUUGCUCAUGCAGUUGGCAUGGUGAGUCAAUAUAUGCAUAAUUCAGGUAAAGAGCACUGGCAAGCAGCUAAGUGGAUAUUGAGAUAUCUCCAUGGUACUCGAGAUGUUGGUUUAUGCUUUGAGAGGGAUGACUCUGGUAUUGGUCAUUUUGCAGUUGGUUAUGUUGAUUCAGAUUAUGCAGGUGAUCUGGAUGGAAGGAAAUCUACUACAUGCUAUGUGUUUACUAUGGCUAAAUGACCAGUUUGUUGGAGGUCCAUUUUGCAGUCGUCUGUUGCCUUGUCUACUACAGAGGCUGAAUAUAUGGCAGUUGCUGAAGCUAUAAAGGAGGCCAUUUGGACACAUGGGCUGAUUAGAGAUUUGGGGGUUGAUCAGAAGCAAGUGGAGGUACAUUGUGAUAGUCAGAGUGCCAUUUAUUUGGCUAAGUAUCAGGUUCAUCAUGCGAGGACCAAGCACAUAGAUGUGCGUUAUCACUUUGUUCGUGAAAUUGUUGGUGAAGGGGAAAUCAUUCUCCAGAAGAUUCCAACUAAAGACAACCCCGCUGAUAUGUUGACUAAGGUUGUUGGUGUAGCCAAGUUUGUUCAUUGCUUGAACUUGGCUCACAUUUUGCCUAUAUAAAGAAGGCGUUGAGCAGUAGGAGUUUUGGAGCAUUUGGCUCGGCAUGCGUUGUUCUCUUGCUAGUGUUUGGGAGUGAUGUUGUGUGUUAAUUGUGUUGGUUGGCUUAUCAUGGCGUUUUUCGGAACUUGGCCAAGGUGGAGAUUGUUGAAUUGUGGCCAAGUGGCGAAGUGGACAACAAAACAAAACAACUUUCGGCUAAUAAACAAACCAAAAUAAAAAAAGGUGAAAGACAUCAUGAUGAGGAGGCAUCAUGAUUAUGUUUGUUGAAAAGGAAAAUUGAUGGUCAUGAUGAUGUUUUUGAGUUUUUUAUUGGGUGCUUUUGUAUUGAUGAAGUGAGGAUACAAAAGUGAGAAAGAGAGAGGAAGGAGUGUGCACCAUUUUCUGUUUUAGUAGUCCAUCUUUGAGAGAGUAAAGAGAGUUGUAGAGAGCAGAAAACUGAGAGCAGAAAAGAAGAAGAAGGUGCUCUUCUUUUUGGUUAGCAAUCAUCCAUCAUAGUUAUUGUUGUAAUAGCUUUGAGCUACAUGUAUAGAGAAGAAAUUAUUCAUUAUAUUUCUUUCUCUAUUUGUUUCUGUGGUGUGUGAGAGCUAUUGGGUGUAUUGGGUUAUUUGGGUUGUGAGAUUACCAACACUUUGUAAACUCCCAUUUGGUUGAUAGUGGAUUAUUGGGUGAGCUCCUACUGCUCCGAGGACGUACUCCAGUUACACUGACUGUUGAGGAACCUAGUUAAAAUCUUGGUGUCUUUAAUAUUUUGUUCUUGCAUUUCAUUUGAUAUAUUUCCUGUGGGUUAUCAAGAGUUGGUUCCAUAAGGUGUGGUGCUAUCCUAGCACAACAUAGGUAUCAUAGUGUAGGUACAUUAAUUAGUCUCGGUGCCAUAGUGGAGGUGCAAUGGUGUAGGUACAAUAUUUUCUUCUUAAGUGCAUUAGUUUAGUUAUAUUACAUGUUUAGAGGCAAUGAAUUAGUCUAGGUAUAAUAGUGUAGGUACAAUCAUACUUAUGUAGAAAUUUCCUAAUGAUUGAAAUAUAAUAUAUUUUUAGAUGGAUUGGCAUAGUAUUAUGAAUAUAAAAUGGUUUAAAUUUGGAAGGAGGAUGAAAGUAGUUUGGUUGAUGCUCAAAUAUUUAAAGUUCAAUCUAUUUAAAAUAAUAAGAAAUCAAGCUAUAAAUGAGAUUUUAAAAGUAUAAUACUUUUUUUUGUCAAACGAUAGAUUUUGUUAGAUUAGUCAUCGAUGAGAUUUGAACCCUCGCCGUCAUACAAUGGCUCAACACCUUUCUACCAAAAACAGAAAUGACUAGACAUGUGGGAUAUGAAUGCUAACAUAAAUACAAGGUUAAAGGUCUAAACAUUCUUGAAGUUGGAGUUUAUUACCGAAUCGGGAACACAUGCAUUAUACAUUCUUUAGGCCCAAAAACAGAAAGAGUCUGCAGAAAUCCCUUAUCAUUAUUCCUUGAGCAAAUUCUAAAAACUUCCUCAAAAGUGACAGAAACAAAUAUCAAUGCAAAAUGAGUAAACUGUUUAAGAUGAAUUGAAGGACCAAGGUUUUCCUUUUUUGUUGAUCAAAAAUAUUCCAGCUCCGUAAGUAGAAAUGAAGAUCUCAACAAGAAGGGAAAAUUGCAUCCAUACGAAGGAGACAACCGGAACACUAGCAAGUAAAAUGAUCGGAGCCACUAUCCACUCUUUUGCUUCCAGCAUAAGAAAAAGGGUUGAAGAAAACGCGAUCAUCAUGGUAACGAUAGAGGAGAAAAGGGUGAAAAGGCCUAUCAUCAUCUUUGUUGGCAGUGAUUUCAGGAAAUCAUCUUCAGCAUAACGCGAGUUGAGGAUUCCUAAGAAUGUCACAACUGAAGUUGUAGAAGAAAAAAGUGAAAAGACAUCCGCGGCUAUGAAAACCAUAAAUAUCCUUUUAUUUAAAAACACGGGAAAGCCUGCCUUGAUUCCACCAGGAACUGAGAACACUGCAAUAAACAUAAUUGUAACAAUAAGAGCAGCUACAACCGUACAAGAAGUUGCAGUUGCUUUCAUUGAUCUUUCACAUUCGUUUGCCAAUUCCUUGUGGUUCUUUGUAAAUAGGUCACGGGCGGUCAUGCCAUCUGUAUAGUUAACAACUUCAAGAAACUUGGAAGGUACAAUUUUCUCCACCUCCUGCAUUUCAGUGAAUUGAAGAAACUUAAAUAUCUUUCUUUAAUUUAUUUUCUUCAAAGGCACUCAAAUCUAAUCCCAAGUAAUUAAUAUUUUUGUACUCUUACAAAUCCUUGAUGUAUGCCCUUUGACCUUGAAUAUAUAUGCUAGGAAUCGAGAUGGAGACUGUUAGGAAUCGAGCCCCAGAUUAAAAACUCCGUCAAGUUACAGUUAAUAGAUUGCACGUGAGCUCCAAGUGCAAGGUUAAAUUCAUCAUUUCAGCUCUAUUAACCCGGUAAGCGUUCAAAUCAGCCUAUAAAGCGUCCCUCCCCUAGUCUGAAAGACUAAAACCAUGAAAUCGCUAUCUACGUGUGGGUGCUGGAGUUUUUGCUGAAAAAUGGGGUUGGAGACUGAGAGGCUCUCGAAUUGAAAUCGUCGACUCAAAUCUAAAAGCUCUGAAGUUCCAACACCAAUUACAGAAAACGAUAGGCCUUCCUUCCCAUUUUAGCUCACCGAUUCCUGCCGAACCAAUUUCAUGUAAUUUGGCUUUCUUUGUUUUUCUUACAACUUGCAUUGUUUGAGUCAUUUGAUUAAUUGGGUUUUAUUUUUUCUUUGUUUUGUGUUUCAAUGAGUUCAGUUGGAAGAAUCGCUACCGAAUUAUGUUUUGGUUUUGAACUCAAACUUCUCUUACCCAAAAAUAAGUCAAAGAAGCAAGUGGCCCUCUACCACAGUGGUGAAGUGGAAUGUUGCUCUUACACUAUGACGUGGGUUCGAACUCCGUUGGCUCUCUAAUCUAACAUUUAAGCUAACAAAUGUAUCGUUUGACCAAAAAUAAAUAAAUCAAUCAAAGAAAUAUAAAUGGAAGAAACCAGGAGAGAGACAAAAUUUGCAGUCAAAAUCGUUUUACACCCCUGCAAAUCUGUGAGAGUUGAGAUGUGGGUUAUUAGGGGAGGCUAAAUGAGAUUUUUCUGUUUUGUUAGUGUGAAACAGAAAGAGGCGUAAUGCGUUAAUAGAUGUAAAGUGACUAAUUAGUGUAGGUACAUUAAUUAGUCUCGGUGCCAUAGUGGAGGUGCAAUGGUGUAGGUAUAAUAUUUUCUUCUUAAGUGCAUUAGUUUAGUUAUAUUACAUGUUUAGAGGCAAUGAAUUAGUCUAGGUAUAAAAGUGUCGGUACAAUCAUACUUAUGUAGAAAUUUCCCAAUGAUUGAAAUAUAAUAUAUUUUUAAAUGGAUCGGCAUAGUAAUAUGAAUAUAAGAGCAAUUCCACCGGAGUGGAUUUUGCCCAGGACCCAGGAGAAAAACAGGGCCAGCACCCUGUCAAUCAACUCCAUCCCUUCAUGUUGACUGGUACCCAGCCCGAGCUGGGCAAGAGCCCAGCGCAAAAGAGACUGAGACAGAAGCCGGGGAGUUGGCCUGGCGCGUGCGCUUCACGCAGGCGUGGCGCGAGUGCCCGACAAGGUUUCAGAGCACGGGCCCGCGUGCAGGCGCACUCAGUCCCCCCCCCCCCGAGUUGGCGACGUGGCUUCCCUUAUGCCGUUGGAUUUCCAACGGCUAGUUUUCUAGACCGUUGGAUUUCCAACGGUAAAAAAAAAUUUAAAUUUUACUUUUAAAAUAGACCGUUGGAUCAAAGAUCAAUGGUCCAAGUUUUUUUCACAAAAAGUAAAUAAAAAAAAAGCCCAACGGUCAUAAAAAUGACCGUUGGCCACGUGGCAACUCCCUAGCUCUUGGAUUUGAAUAUUUUUCAAAUCCAACGGUUCAGAUUAAUUAAAUAUAUUAAAAUUCAUUAAAAAUUAUUAAAAAAUACAGAAAAAUUAUUAAAAAAUACAGAAAAUUUUGAAAAAUGUUAAUUUUUUCCUAUAAAUACCUAACCCUCAUCUUCUACCUUUACACCACAUUUCAAUAUUUUCUACACUUUCUAUACUAUCUACAUUUCAAUAUUUUCUACAUUUCAAGAGAAAAAUGUCUUCGUGGAAGCUCAUUGAAGAUGUUACGUUGUGUGAAUGUUGGGUUCACACUACUCAUGAUCCGAUUACGGGUAAUGAGAUGGAUAAGCGAGAAAUGUGGAGUAAAAUUACGAAAGCGUUUUGCGAUGUACAUGGAGAAAACGCCAGAACUAGUCAAGGUCUUCAAGGUCGUUGGAAAAAACUAAACGCAUCCUUUACUUGUUGGAAAAACGUCAUCUCUCAUGCUUCCGGUAACCUCCGUAGUGGGACAAGUUUAGCGGAUCAGGUGACAAUAUUUUUAUUUAUUUAUAUGCAUUCCACUCACAUUAAUAUUUUGAUUUAUUUAAUUUCAUAUGUAAUUUUUAUGUUAUUUCUUAUGUAAUUUUUAUGUAAUUUUUAUUUAAUUUCUUAUGUCAUUUUAUUUAAUUUCUUAUGUCAUUUUUAUGUAAUUUAUAUGCAUUCCACCCGUAUCAAUAUUUUGAAUUUAUUUAUUUGUGUUACACCCGCAUGUAAUUAACACUAUAUUAUCCCACAUUUUUAUAGACACUACAAGCUCAAGCAUUCUACAAUUCAAAGAACGGGAACAAAUCAUUCACUAGAUGGGAAUGUUGGCAAAUUGUCAAAGAUUGCCCUAAAUACAAAAUUGUGGCAACUAGUCCAGAAGUUGUCAUGCACGGUAUGGGUCUACAUAGUUCUCCAGAACCAGACAUGGCCGAACAAGAAGCCGACACAUUUCAAGACACGGAAGGGAUGCCUGAACAAGUGCCCGAGACCUAACCGACUCGUCAGUCCCUCAGGCCCGUAGGUAAAAAGGCGUCAAAGAAAAAAGGUAGUUCUUCCAAGAAUGACUACACUAAAUAUAUGGAGGAACUUGCUCGCCAAGGUGAACUGUACAUGGCACGAGAAAAGGUUAGAGAUGAGGAAAAAGUUGCUGCUAUGGCAGCAAUAUUAGCAGCUACUGAGGCCCGUGAUGCGGCGACUGAGAGACAAACAGAAAUAGUUAAUCGAGAGAACGAGCUGGUUAGAGAAGCACUUCAUCGAGAAAAUGAAUUGCUUCGAGAAGAAAGGAUGGCUCAAGCAGAUCGUGACACUAUGAGCAAGUCUCUAGUAGGACUGUCUCCGAAUUCUAAAUAUUUUUGGACAUCGGAAAAAAGAGAUGUCAUGCGAAGGAGGCGUGCAAGAGAUGCGGAAACAAGUCAAGGGGGUUCUAGCUACUUUUGUGACAACCAAGAUCCUAGCACCACAUAUCCUAACUCGAGAGACUUUGUAUAAUUUUUAUGUAUUUUUUAUGUUUUUUCUUUCUUUUUUCUUUUGAACUUUAUUUAAUUUCUUAUGUCAUUUCUUAUGUUUUUUUCUUUUUUUAGGUUUGAACUUUAUUUAAUUUCUUAUGUAAUUUUUAUGUAAUUUCUUAUGUAAUUUUUAUGUUAUUUCUUAUGUAAUUUUUAAAACUUUAUUUAUUUUUAUUUAAUUUAUUAUGCAAUUUGAAUGUAAUUCUUUAUUUAUUUUUAAAACUUUAUUUCUUUUGUACUUUAUUUAAACACAUGAAAUAAGAUUACAUAAACUCACCAAAUAAAUUUAAAAACAAAACACACUACAUAGAAUUACAUAAACUCACCAAAUAAAUAGAAUUACAUAAACUCACCAAAUAAACUUAAAAACAAAACACACUACAUAGAAUUACAUAAACUCACCAAAUAAACUUAAAAACAAAACACACUAUAUAGAAUUACAUAAACUUAAAAAAAAAUACAAUUUAUUCUUCAACCACAAGCCUCAUUCUAAUUAUCUUCGCCUUCAUGCAAUCCCCAUUGGUGCUCAAUCAAGUCAUUCUGGCGAGUUACGUGCCAGUAUGGCUCUUGCACAUUAGUGUACCGCUGAACAAUCAAUUCAUUGUAACGUCCAUCGCAUUCCAACGGCUCGUGUUGCACUGGAUCUUCGGUCCCAUCAUGAGCACAAUAGAUACGUGUUCUUGAGUUGUUCAUGGGAUCCGGCUCAUAUUCAUCGACGGCAUCAUAAUCAUACUCAUCUUCAACAAUCAUGUUGUGGAGAAUAAUACACGUCAUCAUGAUGGAUCGAAGAGCCUCGACAUCAAACAUUCUAGCUGCAGCCCUGAUAAUCGCCCAACGAGCUUGCAGGAUACCAAAACAACGCUCGACAUCCUUCCUACACCCUUCUUGACAUUUUGCAAAGUGUUUUUCCUUUUCAGUCUGUGGAUGUGCCACUGUUUUGACAAAUGUUGACCACCUUGGGUAAAUGCCAUCUGCAAGGUAGUAUGAUCCCUCGUAUUGGGUACCAUUAAUGGUAUAUGUGCAUCUCGGCGAGUUUCCUUGCAGCAGUUCGUCGAACACUGGGGAUUGGGCAAGGACAUUUAAGUCAUUCUGAGCUCCUGGAACACCAAAAAAAGCAUGCCAAAUCCAUGUAUCAAAUGAAGCCACCGCUUCCAAAAUGAUGCUUUUGGUUCCUUUUCUGUUGCCAUAUGCUCCUUGCCACGCACUUGGACAGUUUUUCCAAGUCCAGUGCAUGCAGUCCAUGCUUCCAAUCAUGCCAGGGAAGCCUCGCAUCUCACCCUUCCUCAGAAGCCUUCGUAUGUCCCUUGGCGUGGGUGUCCGGAGGUACUCAUUGGUGUAGAGGGCUUCAAUUGCAGAGCAAAACCGCAUCAGGGACUCCAAAACAGUUGUUUUUCCCAUCCUCGCGAUCUCAUCCACUUGAUCUGCAGAUGCUCCAUAUGCAAGCAUUCGCAAGGAUGCCGUAAUUUUUUGCUCGGGAAUAAGAUGAAAACCAUCCUCUUUUUGCACAAAGUAUGAAUCAUGGUUGCAAAUAUCACUCAUGAUUUUGUUGAACAAAUUUCGUUGCAUUCUAAAACGCUGUCUAAAAAUAUGAUCAGGGAAUAUGCUAUUGGGAAUAAAAUAAUCUUCCAAUAGAUUUUUACCUCGUUUUUCCCUUUUUCUAUCGAGGUUUGCAACACGUCUUGGUUUGGCUAUCUGACCCACGGCUUCAAUGACACGGCGGGAAUGUGAGGCCUUCUGCCUUCUAUGGUGAUCAUCCUCAUCCUCCUCCAUGAAGAAAGCCUCAUCUCCACCUCCACUUCCACCUUCCUCGAGAUUGGCCAAUUCUGCCUGUUGUGCCAACAACCUUUGUUGUUGCUCCUGCAACUGUUUAUACACCCUUCUUGAAGAAGACAUUGUAAUAAAAACUCAAGAUUUGAAAACGAUGAACAAGGAUUCUGAGCUAAAAAGAAGGAUUGAGCUUGGUGUGAGGAUGGAUGUAGGGAUGUAGGGUUUAUAUGGACAAAAAAAGAAAGGAUGGGGUUCUGGACAAUGCCACGUGGCACUACGUGAUUGGUUGAAAAUCUUAUCGAAAUCUUGGCUAAAUUAUUGUAAACCGGAAGUGACACGUGGCGUGUCGGGAUUGGUCGAAAAUAUUAUCGGAAAUCUAUUCACAAAAUAGUACGUUCAGAUAAUGACAUGUGGCAUGACGAGAUUGGUUAAAAAUCCUAUCCGAAAUUAAAACUAUUUUAUUUUUUUAUUCUUUUAGACAAAAUUUAAAAAUAUUUUAAAUGGGCUGGGUGCCAGCGCAUUUUGUAGGGAUGGAGAUCGUUUGUGCCAACGCAUUUUUUCACUAGGUGCCAGCGCAUUUUUUUAGGGGUGGAGAUGCCUUGGCCUAUUACUGUUCAUUGGAGUCUGUUACUGUUCAUUUGAGUGGAUAAAUGCACUGGGUGCUGGCGCAAAGUCCUUAGGGGUGGAAUUGCUCUAAAAUGAUUUAAAUUUGGAAGGAGGAUCAAAGUUUAGUUGAUGCUCAAAUAUGUAAAGUUCAAUCUAUUUAAAAUAAUAAGAAAUCAAGCAAUAAAUGAGAUUCUAAAAGUAUAAUAUUUUUUUUUGUCAAACGAUAUAUUUUGUUAGAUUAUAUGUUAGAUUAGUCAUCGAAGAGAUUUAAACUCACGCCGUCAUGCAAGGGCUCUCAACACCUUUCUACCAAAAACAAAAAGGACUAAACAUGUGGGAUAUGAAUGCGAACAUAAAUACAAGGUUAAAGGACUAAACAUUCUUGAAGUUGGAGUUUAUUACCGAAUCCGGAAUACAUACAUUAUACAUACAUUAUACAUUAUACAUUCUUUAGGCCCAAAAACAGAAAGAGUUUGCAGAAAUCCUUUAUCAUUAUUCUUUAAGCAAAUUCUAAAAACUUCCUCAAAAGUGACAGAAACAAAUAUCAAUGCAAAAUAAGUAAACUGUUUAAGAUUUGAAAGACCAAGGUUUGCCUUUUUUGUUGAUAAAAAAUAUUCCAGCUCCAUAAGUAGAAAUGAAGAUCUCAACAAGAAGGGAAAAUUGCAUCCAUACGAAGGAGACAACCGGAACACUAGCAAGUAAAAUGAUCGGAGCCACUAUCCACUCUUUUGCUUCCAGCAUAAGAAAAAGGGUUGAAGAAAACGCGAUCAUCAUGGUAACGAUAGAGGAGAAGAGGGUGAAAAGGCCUAUUAUCAUCUUUGUUGGCAGUGAUUUACGGAAAUCUUCUUCAGCAUAACGCGAGUUGAGAAUUCCUAAGAAUGUCACAACUGAAGUUGUUGAAGAAAAAAGUGAAAAGACAUCCGCAAUUAUAAAGACCAUAAAUAUCCUUUUAUUUAAGAACACGGGAAAGCCUGCCUUGCUUCCACCAGGAACUGAGAACACUGCAAUAAACAUAAUUGUAACAAUAAGAGCAGCUACAACCGUACAAGAAGUUGCAGUUGCUUUCAUUGAUCUUUCACAUUCAUUUGCCAAUUCCUUGUGGUUCUUAGUAAAUAGGUCACGGGCGGUCAUGCCAUCUGUAUAGUUAACAACUUCAAGAAACUUGGAAGGCACAAUUUUCUCGACCUCCUGCAUUUCAGUGAAUAGAAGAAACUUAAAUAUCUUUCUUUAAUUUAUUUUCUUCAAAGGCAAUCAAAUCUAAUCCCAAGUAAUUAAUAUUUUUGUACUCUUACAAAUCCUUGAUGUAUGCCCUUUGACCUUGAAUAUAUAUGCUCAAAUCUAAUCCUAAAUAGCCUAACAUUCUGAGUUCGUAACAGUAAUCAACAUUUCAUUUUUGUGAUUUCAUUUUUUUUAGACAGAAUGUGAUUUCAUUUUUAAUUUGGUUGUUUCCUAUAUGAGAGUGCAAAUUGCUGUCACAAAUAAUCAAGUCUAAUCAAGUAAUACCGAUUGACCACGUGAAUAGAACUUUAUACAGUAAAACCUAUUAAUUUAUAGUGGACCUUGUGGAUUGCUUUGGUGGUAAACUCCUUUUUCUUUAACUCACUUCGUCCUAUUAAACUCUCAUCCAUUUAGUCCAGCUUAAAAUAGCAAUAUUGUUUGUAAAAUUUUGGUCCCAAUUUCAGCCGAUCAUAAAUCUAAAUUAUCUCCAUUUUGUAAUAAGCUAUAUUUCUUUUAGAUCACGUCCUAAGAAGAGAGGUGGUGUUUAAAUAGAAUAAUCUCAUAUGGGUUUGAAUGAGGCCACAUACUAAAGUCACUUAAGUUUGUAUUACUUCGUUAUAUAUAAAGAUAUUGGUAAUGGUGGUGGUCAGUUCACAUUUAUAUUGAGUCUGUCAUAAUUCUAUAUCAAAUUCGCUGUCAAUGAGAGUCAAAUUUGAAAUUUGAUCUACAUUAUAGUGAAAUUUGAUUUCUUGAUUAGAAAAAUAUAAAAUAUAUAUAGGAAGAAAUUCUAACCUUAAACCAUUGUAAUUCUCUCUGCAUUUGCAAUGCUGCACAUUGGAUAUGUUUAAGCUGUGCAGGUGGGGAUAACCUCGCUGCUGAAUGUAGUAACGUAUUGUUGAACUUAUCUACUCUGGAUUCAGUACGAACAUUCAUGACUCGGAUAAAGUCAUGGAAAAAGUUAUAGACUUUUUCUUGACGGCAUUCAAUGGAAAACUGAAACAUGCCCUUUUCAUUUUCGUCAUAUAUCCCUAAAGCUAGGAUAUUUGCAGUAAACAGCUGACGAAGAAACUCAUCAUUCCCAUGUUCAACAGCCUUGAAGAGUGCUGUUUGUACGGAACUUCCUUGCAUUUGUUUAAGGCUUAAACCUUCUGUCAUUUUGCACAUGCCUUGUAAAACUUCAAGGGAUUGGACAUGGAUUUGUUUCAUUUUGUACAUGUGAUCGAUUCCUAGGUUGACAUAGAAGAAUUAUUAAUCAUUAAGUUUCGAAAAGUACGACCAAAAGAAGUUCUAAGCGAUGACUGGAUAAAUAUUAGAGUAAAACUUGAACGAAAAGAUUAACAAAGUGUUGAAAUGAAGCAUUACCGAAAAGUUUACAGAGAUUUGAGACGAGCCCUCGCAGUAAAGCCAUAACUACAAUAUUGCAAAUACAAAAAUGUUUUGCAUUAGCUAUUCAAAGAAUUUGUUAAUUAGGUAUGAUCUAGAAGAAAGUAAAAGAUGCGCCUGAGGUCAUAACUCUCGUUUUACAUGGAUAAUACAUACCUGAGCGAAUUAUGAGAUCCCUUUGAUCAUUAACCGGGUCAUUGGCUUGUUUUGAACAUCUAUACGAACAUCACGGAUCCCAGAAGCAUGUCGUAUGUGUAUACCUAUCAAGAAAAUAAACACAUGCCUCUAGUCAAUAUAUAGAACUUUUUUUUAAGUCGAGGGUCUGGACACAUUGAAGCCUUUCUUUUACUGUAUAAAUAUUUAUUUCUGUGAAAAGAGAAACUAAGGUGCAUACCCAAAAUAAAUGAUUAAUGGACACUGAUACCGAUAAAAGUACACAUUAAAUUUUUAACACUUAUUUUUAGACACUAAAAAAUUAACUCUAAGAGAGAAAAUAACUUACACUAAAAUAUUUGAGCAAGACCCAAAACCAAAAUUCUAAUUUAACUCGUAACCUUAAACCUUAACUGCCACCACAUAUUGAAGUUGUGCCGCUAUAGAACUCAUCGCAUCUCACCUUAAAAAAACUUGUGAAACAAUUGAGGGAUCUGUGAACUCGAACUUGAAACACGUUUGUAUAUGAGUACAUCAAAUAUAAGUUUGUCUUAUUUGUCUAUUUGUAUGCAAGGGACUUACCGGCGAAGACAAACAUAAGAGCCAUUUAGGUUUUGGCGCAUUUGUUUUACUAUUUCUUGACUUAAACUAGUGAAGAAAAGCAUAGUGUGGAGACAUAAAUUAAUCACAUCCAAACAUAGUAUGUCAAGUGGAUUAUAAGCUCAAUUUGACAUAACUACCUCGGAUAUCGUGAGAAACCCCCAUCUCCAUUCUAAUGGGUUAAGCACACCAACCCCUCCUACGGACCGGCAAAUGCCACAACUAUCGGGCCCUAACCCCCGAUUCUUGGCAAGCUAGCUAGCAAGCAUUUUGUUUUUCUUCAAGGGACAGGGUUGUCGACCCCUUGCACCUCAGCCCUAUAUGAAGUUGAUGUUCAAUCAUAAAAUUAAUUGACAAUAUAGGGAGUAACCCAAUUCAUUAUAAGUCCUUGCAAUGUUUCUCUUUUCACCAAUGUGGGAUUCUUUACCUUCACAUCAUCACAUAGCCCCUUACGGGUGAUUAACUUUUGAACCAAAUACAUGGAUAACACAAAUUAGGUGAUAUUGAGCACGUGUGACCAUUGGGCUUCAUAACCUAUUGGUGUCUAAGCAGGCAUGGGAAGGGAGACUCAUUGACUUGCCUAAGCCCGCUACGGCCUACUAGUAGACGAUUUAUGGACCUCUUCCACUAUAAGUAGCCAAGUCAUACAAGGAAAUUGGUUUAUCACAAACUCUAUUUAGAACUCUCCAGUGAAUUUUAGUUUUUCUCAAACACUUUUUGACUUCGACAUCGUAGACAUAAAUCUCCAUCCAGACAUAGAAUGCAUUUUAUUGUUUUAAUUUUUUUUCAUAUUAAGUAUAAAAUAUACAAAAAAAAAAUCAGGUUUUGAGAUAAAUCAAGGGGUGUGCUAUCCACACACCCCAUUUUACUUCUCACAUACCCCUUGAUAAUUUCUGUCCGUUGAUCUUCUUCAAUUCAUCCGAUCCGACGGCCGAAAAUUAAAAAGGUGUGUGAGAAGUAAAAUGAGGUGUGUGGAUAUCACACCCCUAAAUCAAAUUGUGGGAAUCGUGUGUAGGAAAUAUCUUAUUGAAAAACGGGCCAACGCCCACCCAACUAGAGGGACAGAGAAAUUAAUAAGGUAUAAAAUUCAUCAUAGAAUAAAGAAUGUAGUUACUAACUGUUAUAGAUCCAUUGUUGCCAGAAUCUGAGACGCGUUCCACUUAAAAAGAGAGAGGGCAUACAAGCCAAUUCCUGUAAAGGUGUUUUCCCAGUAGAGUUUGUGGCAAAUGCCAAGUUUGAACAACGCUGAAUUAAAUCCAAUGCAAUAUCUACAAUAGGGAAAAAAGAAGAAGAAGAAGAAUUAUAUACAUGAAGAAAAAAAGGAAAGUAAUCAAUAUUUGUUAGGGAACAUGCUAUUUAAACACAUUCUUAAAUACAUGUGAGUUCUAUAAAUAAUGAAACGGCCCACCUUAGUUAUAGUGUGUCAGAAAAUGUGUGCGAAUAUUGUAUCUAAAACAUUUAUGUACCCAGUUCUUUGGAGCUAAAACAGUGGGAAAUAAGAUCAGCACCAGUCUGACAGUUAUCUUGGGUCGACGUCAAAGCUUCCAAUGGAGUAACUGAAUAGAGAUAGCGAGCCAAUCCCCAAUGGCCGCCAUGACAAGCCAUGAUUAGUGGGAUCAUAUUCUGGAGAUUGCAUGGUAUGCAAAGUAAUCUCUUGUUCUUUUCGAUUAUGCAUCUAGCCACUUCGGGUACUAUUAGCGUAGCUAAAGUUAUAGCUGUGACACCAUUAGCGUCUUCUAUUUCCAAGUCUUGCUCUGUCAUCAACUCCACUAGUUCUUUCGCCAUAUAUUCGUUUUCCAUUGAAACUGCCAUGUGAAGAGCUGUCGAGCCUGAUAAUGAACCUCUUUCUCUGAUUGCGUCGGGAUGCUUAGUAAGAUACUUCUUUGCAGAACUCCAGUCACCUUUUGCAACAGCAUCAAUCAAGGGUUGAUGGUGGGGGAACUCACUGAAGUCGCCGUUACUUUUAUAAUACUCUGUCAAGUAAUAUUAUUUAUUAUUUGUUAACUGAACAUCAAGAAUUUGGGGACGAAUUAUACAUGAUGUUGAAAUAAAAGAGAACUGAAUGAAAUAAAAUUAAACAAAACAAUAAAGAUUCAUGCAUGCUGCAGUAGAUAUCACAUAAUAUUACCACGUACGUACCCUCAUUCCGCUUCAGACCGGUAUUCAGCUCUUCAUCCUCUGCAUCGAUCACGCAUGGUGACUUUAUUAGAAGAAGAAAACUAAAUCUUAAUAGUUAUAAUAUUGGAUUUAACUUGGAAAGGAGACAUGUAGUACGUGCGUACACGUACCUGUGUUUUCCAAGGCUUGAUCGGCCGGCUUCAACUGUUCAGCCAAAGUAUCCCAGGCGACUUUGGCCGAGCUAAUGCACCGGAUAAUAAAAUAAGUAUCAUCCCCGCAACAAGUUUGGAUUGCAUGUAAAACCUUGGCAUUAUUCUUCCUCCAAACCAUAAAUUCCGCUUCACCAUCUUCUCGUCUAGGAGGUUCAAAGGUCUCUUCCACAACCUCCCAAAGAUCUUCAGCCAACAAGUAGGUUUUAAAGUGGAAACUCCAAUCUUCAUAAUUAUCAUGACUAAGAACUUUAAGAUUAGCAAUUACACUAGAAACAACUGUAGCUGCCAUGUUUAAUCUGCAAAUGUAAUCAAUUAUCCAAAGUGAUAUUAGGUCGAUUAAUUAAGAAAAUAAUGAAACAAAACAAUAUAACUAACUCACUCUGUUCGAUCGAGUAGUGGCAAUCUUCAAAAAUAAGUAAGCUGCAACUAUUAUCCAAUGAGCUUAAGUAAAUUCCCACUCUGUGCACUUAGAGUGACCACACUUCUGGUGUAUAUAUAGAUGUAUAGCAAAUGAGCAAUGAAAAAGGACAAGAGACUCGGAAGACUAUGCCACCAAAUACUCCAUUAAUUCGAGGCAGAUUCUCUGUCCUCCCACUUUUCGUGCCCUCUCCUGCCCUUCUGUUUUGUGUGGUCACGGUUAAGUCACGUCAACAUUUAAUAUUAUUUUUUUAUAAAGAUAAUAAGACAAAAAUGAAUAGUAAUAUAAAAUGUUGACGUGGCUUAACCGUGACCACACAAACAGAAGGGCACGGGAAGUGGGAAGGCAGAGAAUCUGCCACCCCAUUAAUUUCCUAGUCGGUGUUAACUACGCGAAUUCAAUAAUGGGAGAGUUCUAUCCCUAGGAGAAAUUUUUCAUUGUGACUGGAACACGGGUGGUACACCACGUGUUUUUAUAUAUUUCGUAGUGUAGAUACUAUUGUUUGUUAAUUUUUUUUAAUUAAAUUUAUAAAAACAGUCAGGUUAUAAUACAAAAUAAUCUUAUUUACGCCCUUUUAAAUCUAAAUGCCCCAAGCAGUUUCGUAUGGCGGUAUGUAGAUAGAAGCCUCUCCCGUUAAUUAUUGAAGACAAGAAGUGUAUGGCUGAAACUAGGGAUAGAAAGAUUUUCCAGUGUGACCGGAACACGGAUUUGGUACAUCACGUAUUACUAUACAAAUGGUGGGAUAUGUGUGUUAAAAAAUUAAUAACUUAAAAAAUAAAAUUUCUCACCACUUAUAUAAAAACACGUGAUGUACCACCCGUGUUCCGGUCACAAUAAAAAAUUUCUCCUAGGAAUAGUACUCUCCCAUUAUUGAAUGCCCUUGCCCAAGAUUUCAACCGGAACACGGGCGGUAUCUAAUUUUACUCUAAAAUUUAAAAUUUAUUAUCACAUCAUAUUAAAUGCCCUUGCCCACUUUUAUUGUUUUUUUAUUUUCUUUCUAAAAUUCCUACUUUAAUAUCAAUUAAGGCUUAAAAAUAGGAAUUUUGAUUUCUACAAAUCAAUUUAGAAUUUUAAAAUGGAAGAUUUUUAAAUAACAUUUUGUUAAUGAGAAAUAAACUGUAUAUUAAAAUUUCUACAGAUAAUGCACAAAACCAAACAAAUGUAUUAAUAUGUUGACACAUUAAACAAUAUACUAUAACAACAACAAGUAGUUUAGUGGUAAGGGCGCAAACUGCGGCUUCCCAAUAAACAAAAAAAUAUGGGAGGUCCCAGAUUCGAUGCUCCGAGUUGGUGAGUUUGUGUGACUGUGGUCAUGGUCAGGGUGAAAUUACUAGCCUCUCCGGGCCCGAAAAUGGUGGACAAUCGUGGUUUGCCACUAGUUGUCCCCCUUUUAUAUGGGAGAAAAAUAAACAAUAUACUAUAAAGGUGUAUAAAUAUAGGUGUAUAAAUAUAGGUACAUAAAUAUAUAUUCAUGUACAUAUAUGCAUAUAUAGGUACACAUAUAUACAUAGGUUCAUAUGUAGAGGUAUACAAAUGUGUAUAUAAGUGCAUAUAUAUUGGUACAUGUGUAUACAAAUGUGUAUAUAAGUGCAUAUAUAUUGCUACCUCUACAUCCCCAAUUACCAUAACCCACAUUAACACCACCACCAUUAUCGCUACCACCAACACCACAACCAUCACCACAAUCACCUAUGACUGCAAGUCUGCAACCACCACAUCAAACAUGGCUAACAAGAAGAAUCAUAAGUAUAAAGUGGAGUUGGAAUUUUUUUUUUUUUUUUAAGAUUGAAGUGCAUACAUUAUUAGAAAACACACACACACACACAAAUAUUAAAAAAUUAUCUUAGGAGUUCCUAGAAAUUUUUUAUUCUAAGUUCCUAGAAAUUUUUUAUUCUAACCAUUGCUCUUUAAUUUAGGAAAUUAAGUGAUUACGAACUAAUAGAAAAAAAAUUUAUUUGUCGAUUAGUGUAGAAUAUCAUUUGAAAUUAAAAAAAAAUUAAUAAUGAAAGUGAGAAGCUCCUCUUACUCCUCAAACGUCAAAAACUCAAUGCAAUUUUGCUAUCCUAAGUGCAUAGUAAGGUGCAUGACGUCGAGUGACUAGAGAGAGAUUCCCAACUCCAAAUCUAAAUUAUAUCCCACGUGAACUUGAUGAUAUUUUUUAGGUAAAAGUUUUGACAUGUACGAGAAACACAACACUAGCUUUAACACCUCACGGUUCCACCUUGUCAAAACGUACUACGCUAUACCUGAACAGUCCACAUCAGACGCGGUUUUUUUGGACACUCACUAGUCUCCGCUAAUAGAAUUACCGACAACAGACACCGUUGUUUUGGGCACACUCUCUAUUCACCACUACUAGAAUCUCCACAACAGUAAUCAGGCAUAGUUUUUCUUGGCCAUACUCAAUAAUGGUACCGUCAUGUACCCAACAACGGCACAGACAAUGUGGUUGAUUGAUUCGGUGUCGGUUAAAAAAUCAAAUAUGAGACCACCAUUGCAAUGAUUAUUUUGCAUUCACACUAAAUGCAGGUUGGUGUUUUUCUUGGACCAUCUUCAAUCAUUGGCCUAAAACUUAAAAUUUUUAACCUAAAAAAUUUAGGUUUUAAUUCAGAAACAACUUGUCUGCUCCAACCCUUAUAACUUAAAUUUUUUUAACCCGAAAUUAUUAAAGAAUAAAUUUAGGCUAAUUUUUUUCUUUUAAAUACACUAUCCUAAUUUAAUUUUUUUCUUUUAAGUACCCAAAAAAUUAUAUACACUAUCAUAAUUUAAUUUUAUGAACAUUUUAACCUAAAAAUAUUUAGAUUCCAAUAAAUAUUGAAAAAUCACUAAAUUUGGGUGAAUUUUGAGUUAAAUAAUUUUAGCAUUUGGAUUUAAAUUUGGGCCGUUAUAUAUAUAUAUAUAUAUAUAUUACCGCUAGAUUUGAUUAUAUUCGAUUUCAGCCGUUGGAUUCAAUAAAUCCUGAGGGACAUGCCCAUGUGGGUGGGGUCCUGCUAGGGGUGCCCACACCAUUUUCUAGGCUAAAUCCUGGGCUAUUUCUGGCUUUGUUUUAGGUUUUAGGUUUUAGGUCCAAUUUUCCACUUGGGUUGGGUUAGAUUUAGGAGGGGAAUAGAAGGGGAAAAAUAGGUUAUAGGUCAGAGUUGAAGAUGGUUAUUUUUUGUUUUCCAUCUUUUUCUUUCUUCUUUGCCCACCACAAAACGAUGGCCACUCAAAAUCCACGAAUCACAAUUCAUAUAUUUUCUGUCUGAAUGAACGAGUGGUGUCUGCAAUCUGCAUCAAGCAUGAUUCUCAAUUCAUAUACCUUUUCAGAAAGCCAGUGUUUACUGUGCACAUAGUUUCCAAUGAUUGAUAAUUUUCUUUUAAAAUGGAUAUUAGGGCGCCUCUUGCAAAAUUUAUGCUUGUUCUCAUCCAUAAUUAAGUUAAAUUUUGCAUAUUGAAGAUUGUAAUUAAAUGACGAACAUAGAUCAUAGCUAGUAAAGUAUUUUGAACGAGCUAGUGGCGAAGCAGCCAGUAAUUUGUUGGGUGUUCAGCUUCAAUCCCGCACCCUAGCUAGGAUCCCGAAACCAAAGCAUACACAGCUCAGAUAAAUGGAAGCAAAAAGGAAGCCCUUAGAGCAUUUUUAUCAAUUUUGAAAGAUUUGAGUCUAGGAAUGGGGUUGGGGCAAAACCAUCGGGAUCCUCUUGACUCACUAAUGUGAGCCGUUGGAUUUUGAUCCAACAGCUACAAACAUAGGAUUUUUUGAAUAAUGAACUGCUUUAGCCUCUCAAAAACCACUCUCCAUGCACCCAUUUUGAAUAGUAAGCAAUUGUUAUUUACAAUUAUUAUUACUUUUCAUGUUUGAUUUAAUAAUUUAAUAAUUAUUCAACGAAAAAUGAUUAAUUAUAAAAUAAGCCCAUAUUUUUAUUUUCGCUAAAUAAUAUUAUUUAUGAAUGAAUAGUGGUUUCAGUUUCUAGUUUCAAGAUCAUGAUAUCUUUUUUAAAAAUGAACGAUAAGACGAGUCAAACUCAUCACAUUCGUCACGACUGGAAAGAUGGAUUUUGGCAUUUUAACUUCGUUUAGAGAGUUAAAAACAACUUUUUAUUUUAUUUUAUGCAUAUUUCAUGUACUUUUAUAAACUCACAUCAUUGAUUUCUAAUAACAUUUUUAGUGACUAUGAUUUGUACUAUGUAUCCAUAUCUAUUCAGAAAUCUUCUUGAGAUUUUGAAUAAGAUUGGAACGUAGAAAAAAAUGAUAUUUUAAUAGAAGUUUUGGUGUGAGGAGUGAAGAAAAUGAUUUAAUAUUUAUAAAAAAAAGUAUUCAUAUACUUUUUUUUAUUUUUUAUUUUAUUUUAUUUCAAAAAAAAAUUGUGACCGUUAGAUUGAAGUGUGAAGAUUGGUAUUUACUAUAUAUAUUUACACAUUGAUAGUUUACGUAUUUUUAUCAAAUUUUUAUGUAUUAAUUUUGUACAUAAAUGUUUGAAACUUCCACACAUCCUCCUAUAUACGUGCAUUACAUUUUACUUCUUGUCAUCAAAUUGGAUUGGUUAUCCAUCCGUAAAACCCCAUCUCCAAACUGAGCAAGAUGGACACUUGUACUGUUGUACACUCAACUUGUCGAACUCUAUUUCAUUUAGCCAUGUGUCCAUGUCCAUCCAAAAUUGUACCACCUAUAUUACUUGGCCAACUCUCUUUUGGUUGGAUAGAUAUAUGUGCAAGUUAAUAUUCAUCCUUUAUUGUAUUUUAACUUAGUUCCUUAACUCCUAGUGGCCGACUUUAUGUGACAACGAAAAUCUUUUUUGUUUAGAUGAAAGAUGUUAACCAUUCAAUUCUUAAGUUUGUUUUUUUUCCUUUUUCCUUCAUACAAAUGCAUAUGUGUGUAAAAUAGUAGUCAAAAAGUAAUUGUUGUGCAUCUGAUAUAUCACAUUUCAGUGCAUCUUAAUUAUGUAACAAAUCAAAUGAAAAUACUGUAAUCCACAAUAAUUACUAAAUAUUUCUCAUCAAAUUUUAAAAUAGAUCACCAAGCUGCAAGGUACAACCAUUCGCCGUAUGUUUAUCAGGUUUUCUUUUUUCUAACUUUUGAUGUCUGUACGUACCUACUUCGCGUAGUUGUUAAUUCUGCCUUGGCUUCGAAAUUAAACAAAGUAUCCCAUGCUUCUUUGGCUGUGGUUUUGUCCUUUAUAAAUUUAUACGUUUCAUCCCCGCAAGAACUCUGGAUGGGAUGUAAGGCCUUGACAUCCUUCUUCUUCCAAGCCUUACGUUCUUCUUCUUCUUCUUCAAGAGGUUCAUGGGUGCCUUUGACAAUGUCCCAAAGAUCUUCGGCUAACAAGUAGGUCUUUACCCGAGAACUCCAAUCGUCAUAGGUUUUUUACGGUUAAGCAUUGUAGGAACAAUUGUAGCUGUCAUGUUCAAUAUGCCAUUUAUUCAACGAGAUUUCAUAUCAAUCAAGCAUCUGUGACAAAAAAAAAAUGGCAAGAAAAACAAAAUGAAACAAAGUCAGUCUGUCUAACAACACUUGAGGAGGGCUAGUGUCGUAUUGGAAAUCAAGCACUCUUGUGACCUUGGUCACCUAUAGGUUUGAGGCUUCCCGUCCCUUUUUCCCCUAGAACCCCCACCUAACUAUUGAAAAACAACAACACUACAUAUUGAAUUGGGGCAAUACGAGUCUGCAGUUAUGAGCUUUCUAAUUAGUAAAUUAGUAAUUAUCCUGCACAUUUGCUCAUAGAUUAGUCAGAUGACUUCCUUUAAUUGCAACUGAAAGAAGCACUUAUCACAUUAAAGUCAUUAAUAUCUCCUUGAUAAAUAAUCGAGAACCCGAUACGCAAUCAAAUUCAAGUAUUUUGGAUUCUGGGAAGCUGCUAGAGUUGAUGUGUAAACACUUUUUGCAGAUUGCUUGAUUGUCAAUUUUAAUUAAGUCUUAUUGAUGCAAUGCGAGCCAUGGAUCAUAGUCUAUGUGGAUCACUUAUUUUUUGUUUUAGUAAGUUAGCUCAAGCCAUCUCUAACCGAGGGCUGGCCAGAGGGCUCGUUUUAGCCAUCUGGCCCUCCAAGAUUCCCCAAGAUAUUAAUAUUUUAAUGAACAGUACAGGGCAAUAUUUACGUCCGUCUCCAACCGAGGGUCAAAAGGCCAGAGGGCUCGUUUUAGCCCUGUCACAAAAAACCAUCUCCAACCGAGGGCCAAAGGGCCAUAGGGUCAAACAUAAUUUAUUAUUUAAAAACUACAACUAAAAUGUUGUUUAAGCUUCAUGUUGUAUAAUUUUUAUGUUAAUGUUAUUUAAUGUUGUUUCAUAUUGUUUAAUGUUGUUUCAUGUUACUUAAUUUAAUUUAAUGUUGUAUAAUGACUUAGGAAGUUAUAGGAAAAAAAUAGAAUUUAAAAAAAAUAUGAAACAAAUUUUGUCAAAUAGAAGUUAUAGGAAAAAAAUGGAAUUAAAAAAAAAAUAUGAAACAAAUUUUGUGAAAUAGAAGUUAUAGGAAAAAAAUGGAAUUUAAAAAACAAUAUGAAAUAAAUUUUGUGAAAUAGAAGUUAUAGGAAAAAAAUGGAGAUGGUUUUAGGGCUAUUUUCGGCUCUCUGGCCCUCUAGCCUAGCCCUCGGUUGGAGACGGUUUUAGGGCUAUUUUGGGGCCUCUGGCCCUCUGGACCUUUCAGUUGGAGAUGACCUCAUGUUAUUUGUCAGUAUUUCAUAGGAUGACUAGAUUUGGUUUGUGUUGAUGUAAGAGAGAUUGCUCUCCCUCAUCUUUGUAAUGGUAACAAAUUCACACACUUCGUGUGAAUGAGUUUGAUGAUGAAAUAUUCCAACUGAAAAUCAUCUCUGCAAUUUUCUGCAUAUCUCAUCUUCUUCUCAAAAAAUCAAUAUCGAAAAUCAUCCCAUUUUCUUUCAAGUUCUUAUCAUAAUUAACUACAAAUCAACAUAUAAACACUAACAUGGCCUCCAAGUUCAAUUGCUUAAUCUGGGCGUGAAUCUGUUAUUUUGUGCAGUGGGAAAAAUCAAACUUGAAUCGAGCUUCGCCACAAUGAAAUCGAGCUUCAAAAACUAUUGGGUGCUCUAGAUACGAGUCUAAUAUGGCUGGAUCGACUGAUUUUGAAUUUUCCAUUAAAAUUCCUACCCUAAUCAUCUAUUAAGCCUUAAAAAUAGAAAUUUGAGUUCUACAAAUAAAAUUGAGCAAUUUAAAAUGGAACAUUUUUAAAGAAUUAAAUGAGAAUUAUAAACUAUAUAAAAAUUUGUACAGCAAUCACAAAACCAAACAAAUAAUCUAAUGUACAGGCAAUCACAAAACCAAACAAAUAAUCUAAUAUGCGGACACAAUUAUUUUUAUUUAUUGGGUGUGAUUAUCAUCCAUCUUCGAAUUCAUACAAACCCUUGAUUCUAUGUCACUAGUUAAUUACACAAAUUCUAGUUAAUGGUUAGGCAAAGAAACAACAGUCAGUACUAUCACAUCCUAGCCCGGGCCUCCACCACAUCUCGGGCUUGACUCCACCGUAGCAUGAUAUUUUUCGCUUUGGGCCCCGAUCACGUCCUCAUGGUUUUGUUUCUGGGAACUCACACGAGAACUUUCCAGUGGAUCACCCAUCAUGGGAUUGCUUUCACGCUAACUUGCUUAACUUCGAAGUUCUGAUGGAACCCGAAGCCAAUGAGCUCUCAAAGGGCCUCGUGCUAGGUAGAGAUAGGAAUAUACAUAUAAGGCUUACAGAAUCCACUCCCUUAAGCGAUGUGGGAUAUUAGAAUCCACCCCGCUUAGGGGCCCGACGUCCUCGUCGACACACUUCCGGUCAGGGAUUGGCUCUGAUACCAAAUUGUCACAUCCCCGCCCGGCCCCCACCACAUCCCAGGCUUGACUCCACCGUAACAUGAUAUUGUUCACUUUGGGUCCCGACCACGCCCUCACGGUUUUGUUUCUGGGAACUCACACGGGAACUUCCCAGUGGGUCACCCAUCAUGGGAUUGCUCUCGCGCGAACUCGCUUAACUUCAGAGUUCCGAUGGAACCCAAAGUCAAUGAGCUCCCAACAUGCCUCAUGCUAGAUAGAGAUAGGAAUAUACAUAUAAGGCUUACAUGAUCCACUCCCCUAGGCGAUGUGAGAUGUUACAAGUACUGCUACGCAGAGCUUGUUCAAUAUUCAAGAAGCACUAAAAGUAUAUAUGCAAAAAUGUUCUUGCUGGAGAAUUAAGUUUUAUAUCAGAAAUAUAACAAAAUAAUACACAAUUUAUAUUUGGAAGAUUUUAUUUCUAAUAUUACCGAAGAUUUUGAUAAACAUAAUAAUGUGGUUUAGUAAAGACAAUUUUAGUAACGUUGGGGGUAACUCAUGCUAAGCCAAAAAGUUUAUUAUAACCUUAGGGCAUGUUAUUCUUCCAAUGUGUUUUAGGCACGAUUUAUUAGGGGCUUUCGAAAAAAUGCGCUAGUUGUUACUUAAAGGUAUUGAUUUAAUGUCCAGUCAUUUGAAAAGAUGUGGGUUGACUCCAGUACUUUGGGCUCUCGAUAAGACUGUUGUUUAGAUUCAAUAUAAUGAAUAGACUAGUUUUUUUUUUAGAAAAAAAAAAAGAAAGAAAGAAAAAAUAAUAUAUCAGUUUUUUAUGGGAAAGUCACUUGUGAAGAGGUGUGUUGGAGAAUAGAGUUUGACAUUGGAAACCGAGGCAUUUCAUAAUAAAAUCUCAUACCAAAUAAUAAGUGAUUGACUAAAUUAGAAACAAUAUGAAUGAUAUUGGUGGUCAUACUAAACCUUUAGGUUAUAGCAUUGUUUAUUGAUGCAUCAUUGGUACUCUUAUGUUUUUGUAUAUUUUCUUAUAUGCCACCAAUUCAUUACAAUAUAUUUAGGUAUGAGCAUUUCUGUAUAGGGGUGUGCUAUUCACACACCCCUUUUUACUUCUCACACACCCUUUGUUAAUUUCUGCCCUUUGAUCUUCUUUAAUUCAGUCGAUCCGAUGACCGCAAAUUAAGAGGCUAUGUAUGAAGUAAAAAGGGAUGUGUGGAUAGCACAUCCCUUCUGUAUACUAGGUUAAUAUAAUAUCUUUAGGUACGGACACUUCGGUAUACUAGUUUAGUAUAAUAUAUUUAGGUACCAACAUUUCAGUACCUUGGUUUAGUAUUAUAUAUUUAGGUACGGAAUUUUCAAUAGACUUAUGUUUUUGCAUAUUUUUUUAUGUGCCACUAAUUAACUACAAAACAUUUAGGUAGUACAAUAUGUUUACAUAUAGACAUUUUGGUACACUAAUUUAGUAAAAAUAUAUUUAGAUACGGAUGCUUAGGUACACUAAUUAGAGGAAGUUAAAAUAAAAUUAAUGAAUUCAAAUGUGUAUAAUAUAUAAUAAAUUUAAAAUUUAAUGUAAUGACAUUAAAUAAAAUAUCUAUUAAAUAUUAAAACAAAAAUAUAAUAUGAAUUUGAAUUAAGUACACAUUAAAGGACUAAAAUCAAUAUCCAAUCUAAUUCCAGAUUUUUAUUAAAUUUUAAUCUUCUUUAAGGAUUAAAGUUUAAAAACCCUUUUGUUUUUUCAAACUAAUUCCAGAUUUUUAUUAAAUUUUAAUCUUCUUUAAGGAUUAAAGUUUAAAAACCUUUUUGUUUUUUCAAACAAAGUAGAGCUAAAGGACUUUUAUUGUGGAGGGUAAUAGGUAAUUUUAAAAAUGGAAAAUAUGAGGAGAAAAUAAAAAACAGUGUUGAACUAACCGUAAUAAAUCAACUUUUCCCAGAAAUUGGGUCGGCUUCCACUUUUGAAUGCAGAACGGUCACUGACCAAUGUUACUAAGGGGAAUUCUCAGUCAUGAUCUUUAGCCAUGGCUAGUUGUGGGUAACGCUGAAUCAAAUCUCACGCAAUAUCUAUAUAUAAUAGAAAUGUGAAAAACAACAAUGUAAGUAUGCAGAUAAAGGGGUGUGAUAUCCACACACCCCAUUUUACUUCUCACACACAUUUUUAAUUUUCGGCCGUCAGAUCAGAUGAAUUGAAGAAGGUCAACGGAAAGAAAUUAUCAAAAGGUGUGUGAGAAGUAAAAUAUGGUGUGUGGAUAGCACACCGCGCAGAUAAAAUAUGUAACCAAAAAGCUCACACACGGGCAAAAGAAGAUACAACCAAAGAGCUCUGGCCUAGCUUCAUGAUCAAUCGGGACUGGAUACGCUUGAUAAAGUGACCUCUCAUCUGAAAAUGGAAAUCUUGAUGUUCGGAUAUUACCAUCAAUUCUUAAUUUGUCUUUUCUUUUCCUUUCUUACAAAUGACUAUGUGUGUGAGAAGUUCAGCUACUAAUCAGAAUGCUUUAUUAAUCCAUAAUAAAUACAAAAUAUUCCCCAUCAAACCAGAACAGUACAACCACUGCCGUGUGUGUAUGGGAAUUGGGAUAAUAAUCAAGAUAUCGAUAGUGAUGCUCACGGUGUUCACAUAUCUAGAAAGUUCAAUUCUACUACUGGUUCUCAUGGGAAACAUUGGUACACUAUUUAAGACAUGAUUAACAAUUUCAAGGCAGUUUAUUAUUUAAACUCUUGAGUAAUUUGUGACCUUUCAGUUAACAAUAAACUCUACAUAAAAAAUAUAAGUACAAAAGAAAAAAAGUUGUCAAUCUCAUGAAAAAAAAAUCAACUAAAAACUAACUGCAAAAGGAAGGCAAUCAAAUCAAUACUCCUCCAAACCAAGAUAAACCAAAAAGUUGGCCUUUCAACCUUCGAGUAAACACGAAUAUCAGCCUGAGUUCUCCUUCUCAUCUCAUCUAUAACUUACCUCCUUGUCCAAGGAGGCAUCCAAGUACAAGAAGCCUAGUAGUGAUUAUGCCUUUAUCGGGGAAUUCACUUGUUCUGUUCUGAAGCUCAAGAAUUGUCUCAAUGGUUUGUGAUCUGGGAUUCCACAAGGCCUGAAAAAGUAUGAGCAAGCUGAUCCACUGCUAGCAUAUUCUUGAUCCACAGGCACCACCAAACAGUUGGUGCAUGGUACGUUGUCCAUGCAAAUAACACUUCUAAGCCAAUAUGAAAAGAAGUUAAAGACAGGAAAUGGCUGUGUAUCACAAAAUGGCAUACCUCAAAAGCAGAGACGUGAAUGACACUUUCUUCUGAAUCCUUUGAUGCAUCCUGAGCAUGAAUACUGGCUCCAGUUUGCAGUUGUAAUUGUUUUACAUUAAAACCGCCCUUGCCAAUAACCCACCAAAUUUCCCAGCUCAACACAUAAUUUUCAUGAAAACUCAGCUAGAGCUAGAGCUUCACCCCCAUGUCCAGGAGGAAAACCAUUAAAACCACCCCGGACAAAUCCAGAACGGUUUUCAUAUCCUCCUGUCCAUGGCAUUGGCGACAUAGUGUGGGAAGGAGCCCGAUUAGACAACAUCGGAUUUCUAGGUGAAAGGAAAGGCAUAGGAAAGCCUGAAGGAGGCUUGUCCUUCCUAGGAUUCUGAUGCAGUAGAUUAGACACUUCAUAAAGUGCCCUCUUUGUCAUAUUUUGUUUUGCAGAUAUCUCUCACUUUUGUUGAAAGUUAAUAUAGGCACCAAAAAAUAAAUAACAAAGAACUUUUCAUGUGAGUUUCAUAUAAGCAUGUUUGGAGAUUGAAAGUGACCAAGCUACAAAAUCAUAUGCUUUUACAAAUGUAAAAAGAAGACAUGAAAAGUCUCAAUACACCCACAAGUUUCCAGCGGCAGACUUCACUGGCACAAAGUGACUGCAUACGUGGACCACUGGACCUUCAUUCGUAUACAUAGACAUAUUUAGGGUAUAUAUUUUGAGCACCAAUAAAUUUCCCAAUAACAACAUACACAGCUGGGAACACAUAUUAAAUUAAAAACAACAAAAAUCAUUUCUAACACAAAAAUAAGUUUGAAAAAAAAUUAACUUUAAUCAACAGAUGAGCUCAUACGAUGUCAUAAGAUUUGCUAUAUUAGCUCAAUCAAAAGUCUAAUUCCAUCUACAUCAUGUAAAAUCUUCUUUUGGAACAUUAUUUCCUGUGUUAGAGAACAUGCAAGGAGCACAAAAAUAGAAAGUGUACCAGCACCAAUUCAUCAGUUUCCAUAGCACAAGUUGGAAGCUGAUCUGCAAGAAGGACAGCCAACCAUAUUGUUUGGAACUAGAAGUCUUGUGGUGACAACACGGUUCUCGUUGUCAUCAUCAAAUGUAACUCCACCAAAACGAUCUUCCUCUACAAUCCUGUCAUGAACUUUCAACAGAGCAUCCUGGGCAGCACAAUGCGGCUCCAUUUCAUUUCCAUCAGCUAAAUUUUCAUGGUUAUUUUGUUUGCUUGAAAUUUUUGUUGGAGAGCUAUUGAUAAUAAUUACUCUCUCAUCUGAGCCAAGAACAGAAUCAGAAACCUUAAUCUUUGCCGGGGGUCUCCUCUAAGGGCUUUGCCACCCUUCCCAAUAACACCACCGAUCUUUUUAGAAGGGCAGAGAAUGUUAGUUUAUAAGUGUAUUUGCUGAAAUAUAAUAAGAAGUCAGUUUUAAAUAUCAGCCCUUGGAUCAUAGUCCAAGUGUGCAGCUAAGAUGUAAUCUUAGAUUAAUUAAUAUUUCCUCUUGCUACAUGUGCUAAGUGUGUGUGAAUGAAUGAAACAGUGCAGAGUUCGUUUCUUCUUCCUCAAGCUGAAUUCUCUCACUCUCUCUCUCUAGAUUUCUUACUCUCUUCCUUUCUUCAGUAUUUUAUAAAUUGAUUGAAACACUCAUACAAGAUCAUAGUCUGUAUGCUAACAUGGCCUCAGAGCCAGGUUCGAUCAAUUGAUACUGGGCGUUUGGAUCUGUGAAGAGAGCUACCCAGCAACUCAAAGCUGCGAUCGAGUUGAUUGCGAUCUGAGUCUAACAUGGCAGGAUCGGGUAGUGGUGAGGUGAGAGCACCAAUUUUCAAUGGUGAAAAUUAUGAGUUUUGGAGUAUUAAGAUGAAGACCAUUUUCAAGUCCUACGGAUUGUGGAAUCUGGUUGAAAAGGGUUUCGAUGAAUCAGAUCUGAAGAAGAUUGAUGAAUCUGAGGCGAAGAAGAAAGACAAAGAAGAGUCUAGUGGUGCUGGGAGGAUGACGCUUGUUGAGGUGCUCAUGAAGGAUGCUAAAGCUCUGGGUCUGAUUCAGGGCGCUGUUUCAGAUGAGAUAUUUCCCAGAAUCUCUCAUGAAGAAACUUCAAAAGGCGUAUGGGACAUUCUGCAGCAAGAAUACCAUGGUGAUAAACAGGUUAGAAGUGUUAAAUUGCAAGGUCUUCGUAGGGAAUUUGAAUAUACCCGAAUGCGAGAUGAUGAAUCACUUUCUGUUUAUCUUACAAAACUAUUUGAUCUGAUAAAUCAAAUGCGGAGCUAUGGAGAGGAAUUAUCUCGAGAGAGAGUUGUUCAGAAAUUAUUAAUUAGUUUGCCAUCAGCUUAUGACUCUAUCUGUUCUGUUAUUGAGCAUUCGAAAGAUUUGGAUGUGAUUGAGGUACAAGAGGUGGUGGCUUCUUUGAAGAGUUUUGAGUUAAGGAUUGAUAGGCAUUCUGAAAAUAAAACUGAGAGAGCAUUUGCUAGCCUUAGUGUGAAUCCCAAACCAGUUAAGUUUACUGGAAAUCAAAAUGCCAAGUACCAUAAGAAUUGGAAGGACAAAGGCAAGAAGUGGGAUAACAAACCCACAGAUGGGGCUAGAAAUUCUUGUAAGCAUUGUGGCAAGCUACAUUUUGGUGAGUGUCGAUUCAAAGGCAAACCAAAAUGUUACAACUGUGAUAAGUUUGGUCAUCUAGCAAGGGACUGUAAUAGCAAGAAGGCAGUGCAACAGCUUAAUUAUGCCACUCAGGCAGACUCUACACCAAUCAUGUUUUAUGCUAGUAAUCAAACUAAUACUAGUGUAAAAGGAUGUGAAGAUGUAUGGUAUGUAGAUAGUGGGUGUAGUAAUCAUAUGACUGGAAGGGAGGAUCUACUGGUUGAUAUUGACAAGUAUGUGACUGCAAAGGUUGAAAUGGGUACUGGACAGCUUGUUGAUGUAACUGGUAAAGGAAGUCUUAUGGUUGAAACUAAAAUAGGCAAGAGAUAUAUCAAGGAGGUUAUGCUUGUGCCUGGAUUGAAAGAAAAUUUGCUCAGUGUAGGUCAAAUGAUGAAGCACGGUUAUUACUUGGUGUUUGGAGGUCAUAAAGUAGAGAUCUAUGAUGAUAGCUCAUAUUCCAACUUGAUUGCCAGAGUACCAAUGAAGGGAAAUCGAAGUUUUCCAAUGAAGUUACAGUCUGGAAUACAUAUUGCCUACAGGGCAAAUGUAUGUCCUUCUACUGCUAUGUGGCACAGAAGAUUGGGUCAUCUGAACAUGAGCAGUUUGAAAUUGAUGCAGGAACAAGAAUUGGUGGUCGGGUUACCGGAGAUCAAAGUAAUUAAAGGAGUGUGUGAAGGCUGUGUUCUUGGCAAACAAUGCAGAGAAGCAUUUCCAAGAGAAGCCACUACUAGAGCAUCAUUUCCUCUUGAGCUUAUACACAGUGACAUUUGCGGACCAAUGCAGACAACUACAACAGCUGGAAAUCGAUACUUUCUCACUUUUAUAGAUGACUGCACCAGGAUGUGUUGGAUUUAUUUUCUAAGGCAUAAAUCUGAAGUUCUCAAUGUGUUUAAAAGGUUCAAAGCUACUGUAGAGUUGCAGAGUGGAUAUAAACUGAAGAAAGCUUAGGAGUGAUCGAGGAGGUGAAUACACCUCAAUGGAAUUUAACAGAUUUGUUGAAGAUGUAGGCCUGGAAAGACAACUUACCACUCCAUACACACCACAGCAAAAUGGUGUGGCAGAGAGAAAGAACAGAACCAUCGUGGAAAUGGCUAAGUGUCUUAUGUUGGAGAAGAAGGUUCCACUUGAAUUCUGGGCUGAGGCAGUCAAUACCUCUGUGUACAUUCUGAAUCGAUGCCCAACCAAAGCCUUACAUAAGAAGACACCUUUUGAAGCUUACAGUGGGAGAAAACCAGGAAUUAAGCAUCUAAAAGUGUUUGGUUCUUUGUGUUAUGCUCAUGUGCCAAGUCAACAGAGACAAAAACUCGAUUUGGCAAGCAAGAGGUGUAUUUUCUUGGGAUAUGGUAGUUGUGAGAAGGGAUAUAGACUGUAUAACAUUGAAUCUGGAAAGGUGACUAUUUCCAGAGAUGUUGUGUUUAAUGAAGAAGCAUGUUGGGAUUGGAAUGCACAGAAGGAAAGAAGGGAGAGUAUCCAGAUCAUUGAAAUGUCUGCAGGAGAACAAAACUGUGAAGGAAGUGCUUGUGAUUCUGAAACACAAUGUGAAGUCAGUGAAGAGAAUGUUGGGUCAGAUUUAGUUACUGAGCUAUCUGAUCAAGAAAGAGUGACAAGUCCACAGGAUUUUGAUCACACUCCUCUCAAGUACAGAAACAUUGCAGAAAUAUAUGAAAAGUGUAAUAUGUGCAUAAUAGAACCCGAAUGUUUUGAAGAGGCUGCCAAGGAUGAAUCAUGGCAGAAGGCUAUGGAAGAUGAAAUCUCUAUGAUUGAGAAGAAUCAUACUUGGGAUCUUGUUGAUAGACCAUUUGAUAAACCAAUCAUUGGAGUCAAAUGGGUUUAUAAAACAAAACUAAAUCUGGAUGGUUCAGUGCAGAAAAACAAAGCACGGUUGGUUGCAAAGGGGUACUCUCAGAAGCCUGGAAUCGAUUUCAAUGAAACUUUUGCACCUGUGGCAAGACUUGAUACUGUGAGAACCUUGGUGGCCCUUGCUGCACAGAAAGGAUGGAAAUUAUUUCAGUUAGAUGUAAAGUCUGCAUUUCUAAAUGGAGUGUUGAAUGAAGAGGUGUAUGUGGAUCAACCAUCUGGUUUUGUUAUACAGGGCAAGGAAGACAAAGUGUACAGGCUCAGGAAAGCUUUAUAUGGUUUGAAACAAGCUCCAAGAGCUUGGUAUGAAGAAAUAAAUUCCUAUUUUGCAAAGGCUGGAUUCCACAGAAGUCCGAGUGAAGCUACUCUUUAUAUCAAGACAUCUCACAGUGGCAUUCUUAUUGUGUCACUGUAUGUAGAUGAUAUUAUUUACACAGGGAGUUCAAAGGAGAUGAUAGCUGAGUUUAAAGGUGAGAUGAUGAGACAAUAUGAGAUGACUGAUCUAGGAUUACUUCACCAUUUCCUUGGUCUUGGAGUAUUGCAAACAGAUAAUUACAUCUUCUUGCAUCAAAAGAAAUAUGCAAAGACUUUGCUUGAGAAAUUUGGACUUAGGGAUUGUAAGCCGGUUGCAACACCAUUAGCUAUGAAUGAAAAACUUACAAAAGUAGAUGGAAGUGAUCUGGCAGAUGAGACUUUAUAUAGACAAAUGGUGGGAAGUUUGCUAUAUUUGACAGCAACAAGGCCAGAUAUUAUGUUUGCAGCAAGCUUAUUGGCUAGGUUUAUGCACAAUCCUACCAAGAAGCAUAUGGGGAUAGCUAAGAGAGUUCUGAGAUACAUACAAGGCACUGUGACCUAUGGAGUUGUCUAUGAAAAGGGAAAAGGAGCAGUGUUGGUUGGUUAUUGUGAUAGUGAUUGGAGUGGAAGUGAAGAUGAUAUGAGGAGUACAUCUGGCUAUGCAUUCAAUCUUGGUUCUGGUGUGUUUUCUUGGGCCUCAAUCAAACAAAGCAGUGUUGCUCUUUCAACUGCAGAGGCAGAGUACAUCAGUGCAGCAGAAGCUACUGCACAAGCCAUUUGGCUAAGAUUUGUACUCUCUGAUUUCGGGGAAGAACAAGCAGAACCAACUAAGUUGUUGUGUGAUAAUACCUCAGCAAUUGCCAUAUCAAAGAAUCCAGUUCAUCAUCACAAAACCAAGCACAUUAAUCGGAAAUUUCAUUUCAUCCGAGAUGCACUUCAAGAUGGUGAGAUUGAUCUGGUAUACUGCAAGACUGAAGAGCAGGUUGCAGAUAUAUUCACUAAAGCUUUGGCAAGGGAUCGAUUUGAAGUACUGAGGACAGCUUUGGGAGUGAUUUCAGCACAUCACUUAGAAGGGAGUGUUAGUUUAUAAGUGUAUUUGCUGAAAUAUAAUAAGAAGUCAGUUUUAAAUAUCAGCCCUUGGAUCAUAGUCCAAGUGUGCAGCUAAGAUGUAAUCUUAGAUUAAUUAAUAUUUCCUCUUGCUACAUGUGCUAAGUGUGUGUGAAUGAAUGAAACAGUGCAGAGUUCGUUUCUUCUUCCUCAAGCUGAAUUCUCUCACUCUCUCUCUCUAGAUUUCUUACUCUCUUCCUUUCUUCAGUAUUUUAUAAAUUGAUUGAAACACUCAUACAAGAUCAUAGUCUGUAUGCUAACAGAGAAUACGAUACACAGUGUUGAGCAAUUGAUAAUCCUCUGAAGGUUGCUUACGGCUUGAAUCAUUCCACUUUCCUUUCUUAUAGUUGUUGUUACCCCCUCUUCUUUUAAACUGGAUAUUACGGCAUUUCUUGAAAAAGUUUCGAUUGUUCCCAUCCAUCAUACCCCUCAAUACUAAAAACUAAUAACUGAAGGGAACUGAAUUUUAAGGAAACCUUAAUUCCUGGAUUAAAAAAAACAAUAACAAAAGUCGCCAUUACUGCGAAAGAGCCUAAUGCCAUCCUAAUUUUCUCGAGCAAUGAAACUGGGCUCAUCAUUUACAAUUUCGAACUGAACACUAAGUUAAGCAAAAGCUAUUGAAUUCAGGGAUUGCCAAUACAAAAGUUCAACUAUACAUUGUAAAGCUUGUAGUUAAAAAACGUACUUUGAUCUAGUAAAGUAUUUCCAACGAGCUAGCGGCCGUAAUUCGUGAGCGUUAGGCUUCGACCCAUCGCCCUAGGGUUCCAAAAACCAAACAUAUUCAUACAAUAUCAAAUUCAAGCAUUUCCUUUUCUGGGAACUAACCAAAACAAUAAUGCAAGACAAAAGUUCGAAUCUUUAGUUAAUUAACGACAGGAAACAAUAAAUUAGAUGGAGGGUGAUCGGAGAAAUGAGAAGAACAUAGCACAGGCCAGUCAGUAAAACUGUAAGAUUAUCGUUUGUGGGAAAGUUAAUGAAUGGUUUUUACCUUUUUACGUACCAGAGCGCGCGCGCGCGAUGAAUCGAGGUAAUGGAGCUUGGAGUCUUGGACUUGCAGAGUUUUGCCUGUAUUUUUUUUCGGUGGAAAAGGAGGUGGCCUUCGACCGAUUUCGAAUUCGUAGGAAAGGCUAAGGCCAUCUCUAACGACCGAAGAUUGGUAAGAAGAUUCGUUUUAACUCUUUGGUUUUUCAAGAUAUUAAUAUUUUAAUAAAUAGUACUUGAUUAUAUUUGCCUCUGUCUUCAACAGAGGGCCAAAGGGUCAUAGGGCUUGUUUUAGCUCUGUCACAAAAAAUCGUCUCCAACCUAGAGUCAAAUGGGCAAACAUAAUUUAUUAUUUAAAUUUAAAAACUACAACGGUAACUAACUAAAAAAACUGAAAAAAUUAGAACUAAAAUUUAAUGAAUGGUUUAGGUAUUUAUAGGAAAAAAUUUUGAAUUUUUAAGAUUUUUUUUAAAGGCCCAAAAAACCAAAAAAAAAUAAUUUUUGAAUACAAUAGCUAGUCAGCUAGCUGUUGGAUUCAAAUAAUCGACAGGAAUACUCAUCACUCUGGCCCAGCCCUGGUUGGCUGGCUGACUGCUUGUGGCCAGCCCUUUGACCCUUUUAGAUUCUGUGGAGCCCACGAGCCCUCUGGCUUAGCCCUCAGUUAAAGACAGUUUUCGGACUAUUUUUGGCCCUCUGGCCCUCUGGAUCCUUCGGUUGGAGAUGGCCUAACUUAACUUCGACCCGUUUCAAAUUGGACACGUCACAAAAGGUCCUGGACCAAUUUGAAAAAAUUCCCAAAAUAUUGGAAGACCCUUCGUGGAUUUAGAUUUUGCAAUAUACUCAGAAUAUAAAUCGGUACAUUACGUGUCGUAAUACAAGGAGAGAAAUGCGAAAAAUGUAUAUUUAUCCAGUAUUCACUUAUAUUAUAACACGUAAUGUACUAACUUGUAUUCCAAAUAGAUAAAAACAAAUCUCCCUUUACGGGUGUUAAUUCCAGCAUCCAAUGGAGUUGAUCCUUGAGGGAUAACUAAAGAUUUCAUUGUUUGAAACUUUAAAAUAAGGGAUAAAAUUUAGUGAGUCCAUUCAAAUAGGAGUAAACUGUGGUUUUACUCCAUCAAUUAUUUCUUCAUCGACUUCUACAAGUUAGGUUAUUAUUCUUACAAAGACAACACCAAACUAGAUUUCUUCUCGCUCAGGAAAGCCCCAAGAGCAUUUAGCACUUAACUAGUUUGGUAUUUUUCAUUGUUCCUGUGAACACGGAAAAUUCCUGAAACGAAAGAGACAAGAACAACGUGCACAAACAAAUAUUUGUAUUUUUGAUGAUUUUGGGUUACAAUCUCUCUCUAUUUUGAUCCUCUGAUUCGAUCUCCGUAAGGUGUUGAUUUGUGGGAUGUGCAAUUGAUCCAAGGGCCGUUGAGGCUUGAUCUUGGAUGAACGAGGAUGAACGGAUCUUCAAGGGCUUUUGGGCUUGAUCUUGAAGAAUGGUGAUUGACGGAUCUUCAAGGGCUUUUAGGCUUGAUCUCGAAGAACAGUGAUGAACGGAUUUCCGAUGGCUUUUGGGCUUGAACUCGAAGAACAGUGACGAACGGAUCUUCGAGAGCUUUUGAGCUUGAACGGAUCUUCGAGGGCUUUUGGGCUUGAUCUCGAAGAACAGUGAUGAACGAUGAACGCUUUCUUCAAGGGCCGUCGGGGCUUGGGCUUGAUGAACAGCGGAUGAGUGGAUUUGUUGGUGUUGUCGAUCCAAAGGGGCCGUUGGGGCUUGAUCCUUGAGGAUGAACAGUUGAUGAACGAUGAACGCUUUCUUCAAGGGGCCGUUGAGGCUUGGGCUUGAAGGUGGAUGAUUGUUGAUCCAAGGGCCGUCGGGCUUGAUCUUGGAAGAACGAUGAACGAAGAACGCUUUCUUGAUUCUUCGGGAACCUGGAUGCUUGAGAGCUUCGGAGUUUCAGAGCUUCAGAGCUUCAAG